RNAcentral lists this ribosomal RNA (253 nucleotides) under uncultured bacterium. RNAcentral's name for it is "partial 16S ribosomal RNA". It matches the Rfam family "Bacterial small subunit ribosomal RNA", at positions 524 to 776 of the family's 1533-position model. The record is from RNAcentral.
UACAGAGGUCUCAAGCGUUGUUCGGAUUCAUUGGGCGUAAAGGGUGCGUAGGCGGCGCGGUAAGUCGGGUGUGAAAUCUCGGAGCUUAACUCCGAAACUGCAUUUGAUACUGCCGUGCUUGAGGACUGGAGAGGAGACUGGAAUUUACGGUGUAGCGGUGAAAUGCGUAGAUAUCGUAAGGAAGACCAGUGGCGAAGGCGGGUCUCUGGACAGUUCCUGACGCUGAGGCACGAAGGUCCGGGGAGCAAACGGG